CCGAAAGGAAAGAAGGCCAAGGGAAAGAAGGUGGCUCCGGCCCCUGCUGUCGUGAAGAAGCAGGAGGCUAAGAAAGUGGUGAAUCCCCUGUUUGAGAAAAGGCCUAAGAAUUUUGGCAUUGGACAGGACAUCCAGCCCAAAAGAGACCUCACCCGCUUUGUGAAAUGGCCCCGCUAUAUCAGGUUGCAGCGGCAGAGAGCCAUCCUCUAUAAGCGGCUGAAAGUGCCUCCUGCGAUUAACCAGUUCACCCAGGCCCUGGACCGCCAAACAGCUACUCAGCUGCUUAAGCUGGCCCACAAGUACAGACCAGAGACAAAGCAAGAGAAGAAGCAGAGACUGUUGGCCCGGGCCGAGAAGAAAGCUGCUGGCAAAGGGGACGUCCCCACGAAGAGACCACCUGUCCUUCGAGCAGGUGAGUAGGCCCCACCUUAGGGUGAACACUGGGGGCGGGCUGUUGCAGUGAUGUAAAAUUUCUUCGCCUGAGAUUACUGUGAAGAGUAAAACCGAGCUUUUUAACACUGAGUCAACAGCUGAGCCCAGCAGCUUCUUGUGACUAGAGCAGGCCCUGUGAGUGCUCACAAAGUGGUUGUGUGUUCUAGGAGUUAACACCGUCACCACCUUGGUGGAGAACAAGAAAGCUCAGCUGGUGGUGAUUGCACACGACGUGGAUCCCAUCGAGGUGCGUUUGCCUGUUGACUGCUAACCCAAGGGCUUCUGGCAGUACCAGGAAAAGAGUAGACC
RNAcentral lists this small RNA (741 nucleotides) under Pongo abelii (Sumatran orangutan). Lineage: Eukaryota; Metazoa; Chordata; Mammalia; Primates; Hominidae. The record is from RNAcentral.